This 236-nucleotide unclassified non-coding RNA is filed under the name Mrakia frigida. RNAcentral describes it as "partial internal transcribed spacer region". The stretch from base 1 to 46 matches the Rfam family "Eukaryotic small subunit ribosomal RNA", at positions 1786 to 1831 of the family's 1831-position model. The record is from RNAcentral. Lineage: Eukaryota; Fungi; Basidiomycota; Tremellomycetes; Cystofilobasidiales; Mrakiaceae.
AAGUCGUAACAAGGUUUCCGUAGGUGAACCUGCGGAAGGAUCACUAGUGAUUAAAUCGAGAGCGUCUUCAUUGACCUCUCACCCUUCACAUCCACAUACACCUGUGCACCGUUUGGCUCUUUUAAAGGACGCAAGUCUGCAAAGAGAGUCAUCAUUUUUAUACAUACCCCAGUCUUAUGAAUGUAACAGUUUUAAUAAACAAAAUAAAACUUUUAACAACGGAUCUCUUGGUUCUC